This 205-nucleotide long non-coding RNA is filed under the name Elaeis guineensis (African oil palm). RNAcentral describes it as "long non-coding RNA (EGUI_LNC034808)". Lineage: Eukaryota; Viridiplantae; Streptophyta; Magnoliopsida; Arecales; Arecaceae. The record is from RNAcentral.
AUAUCAAACUAUUUCAUGUUUAUGUUUCAAAAAAAUAUUUUUUUAUAAAAAAUAUAUAGAUUAAUUAAAAAAAUAAAAUAUAAAUUAAAGCUUGUAUAUAAUACAAUGAUUAGGAUGAUAAAACAUAUCAAUAUAUAAUAACAUGAUUGGCAUCAGAGAAUCAGAGACAUUAUACUAAAUGUUGUGGAACAUAGUUAAAGCCAGA